AUGCACGCUGGCGGCGUGCCUAAUACAUGCAAGUCGAGCGAACAGACGAGGAGCUUGCUCCUCUGACGUUAGCGGCGGACGGGUGAGUAACACGUGGAUAACCUACCUAUAAGACUGGGAUAACUUCGGGAAACCGGAGCUAAUACCGGAUAAUAUAUUGAACCGCAUGGUUCAAUAGUGAAAGACGGUUUUGCUGUCACUUAUGGAUGGAUCCGCGCCGCAUUAGCUAGUUGGUAAGGUAACGGCUUACCAAGGCAACGAUGCGUAGCCGACCUGAGAGGGUGAUCGGCCACACUGGAAGUGAGACACGGUCCAGACUCCUACGGGAGGCAGCAGUAGGGAAUCUUCCGCAAUGGGCGAAAGCUUGACGGAGCAACGCCGCGUGAGUGAUGAAGGUCUUCGGAUCGUAAAACUCUGUUAUUAGGGAAGAACAAAUGUGUAAGUAACUAUGCACGUCUUGACGGUACCUAAUCAGAAAGCCACGGCUAACUACGUG
RNAcentral lists this ribosomal RNA (496 nucleotides) under uncultured bacterium. RNAcentral's name for it is "partial 16S ribosomal RNA". It matches the Rfam family "Bacterial small subunit ribosomal RNA", at positions 29 to 507 of the family's 1533-position model. The record is from RNAcentral.